GAUAAUUUAUGUUCUUUUUCUUUUGCUUUUUAACAUAUCUUAAGAGGAUAAGACAAACAACCAAAGCAUUAAGUUCUGAACUGCACCAGAGGUUCAGGAGCAGUAUCCCAAGCUCUAAAGAUGUGUAGUUCCUUGAGACUGUUCCUCUUUCUUUCUUGCUUCCUGUUUGUUGGAAUCUUUGCAGAGGUCGAUGAGUGCAAGGUAUCAAGGUGCAGCCCCAGUGGUCCAGCCAUCCGUUUCCCGUUCUGGCUAACAGACCACCAGCCAGCCCACUGUGGAUUCCCCGGGUUUGAGCUAUCGUGCACGGAGAAGCAUCAGACCAUGCUAAACCUCUCAUACUCAGUGAAGCUAUUGGUGAAGAAAAUAAAUUACAAAUCUCAAGAAAUUCAAGUUCAUGACACGGAUGAUUGCCGUCUAACACAGAUUUCAAACCUCAGUUUACACGUCUCUCCUUUCCAAUUGCAAGAAGAAAGUCAAGGACACUUCAGCCUACUCAAUUGUACUUCAACUAAAACAGCUUAUUCAGAUUACUUUUACCCAGUCCCUUGCCUCAGUGCCCCUGCCUACCAGGUUUAUGCUGUUUAUUCGUCAUAUUCCAUCGACUUCGAACUAUCCUCUUGCCGCAAGAUUCACAAUGUUUCACUUCCAUAUCAUAUACUUAUGCAAGACAAUAUUUUUCCUUGUUGAAAAGUCUCAAGUCAAUCCAACAAUAAUGUAAUCAAAGAAUGAAAUACCGUGGAAAAUUUUGAUAAAAUUAUAUUCCUCAAUAAAUCUCAUCACCCACAUGAUUAGUUAACUCUUAAUACCCCGCUGUCUUCACCUGCUGGUGGUUUCAAAGAAAAAGACUUCCACUGAGAAUACCGGCAGAUUCAUGACAUAAUUUGUUUUACCAAAAAUUAUUGUCAAUAAUCCCUUGUACUUAGCCUAUUUAAUGGGUAGCAACUUGCAAGGACCUCUUGCUUUCACAACUAUGUGGCCAUGCAUGUCUUGUGAAAGUGGAGUGGCUCAGUUUGUAAUUAAAUAGCUCACCAUGCUUGACUAACUACAAAACAUUAUACAUAGAAAAUCAAACACUGUGGGCAAGUUGGUGUACCCAAUCAUCCUCAUAUUUCAUAUUGACAAUGACAGUCAAUGCUAUAGAAAAAUAAACUAAUAUUUACUCCUUCAAUAAAUCAAAUAUUAAUAUAAUAUAAUAUGUUAAUAUUAAUAUAUUAAUUAGGUACAACAGGAUGAGAAGACAUGCAGCCGCUUCACUGCCUCGUAUACAUUAUCUAGUUCUUCCACAAGAAUCCAAAGUGAAAUCAGUAAAAGCACGCAAUUAAACAAGUAUCUGUUCUUCCUUGAAAAAAGCAGUGAAUAUAACGCGAAUUAAUAGGUCGUCCAAGAUGUUCGUGAAGGAUCUCUUCCCAACGGUGGAAUUGUUUUCUUAAAAGAGUGAAGAAAUUUUCCAGGAUGAUUAAAGACAGCCUAAAUUUUCUGAUUGUGGGAGGCAGAGCUCAUACUUUAAUAUAAUAAAAUGCUACGAGAUUCAUGAAAUCAAAAUGAGCGGAAAUUCAUGGUUUCCUUCCUCAGCUUAGUUCCAUGGAAAUUUAACUUAAUGAAUCCUUGUUGAAAAGUCUCAAGUCAAUCCAACAAUAAUAAGAAUGAAAUACCGUGGAAAACGAUCCCAUUUAAUCUGAUGGAUCCUUGGGAAAUUCAUGGGUUUUUUCCUCAGCUUAGUGCCACAUGGAAAUUUUUGGCCUCCUUGUUGAAAAGUCGAAGUCAAUGAUAGCAAUGUACAAGAGGAAAGAACAUUGAAUUUUGAAGUAAUAGGAUAACACAAGCAACGAAAGCCUUAAGUUCUAAACUGCACAGGAGGUUCAGGAGCAGUAUCCGAAACUCUAAAGAUGUGUACUUCCUUGAAACUGGUCCUCUCUCUUUCUUGCUUCCUGUUUGUUGGAAUCUUUGCAGAGGUCGAUGAGUGCAAGGUAUCAAGGUGCAGCCCCAAUGGUCCAGCCAUCCGUUUCCCGUUCUGGCUUAGAGACCACCAGCCAGCCCACUGUGGAUUCCCUGGGUUUGAGCUAUCGUGCACGGAGAAGCAUCAGACCAUGCUAAAUCUCUCACACUCAGUGAAACUAUUGGUGAAGAAAAUAAAUUACAAAUCUCAAGAAAUUCAAGUUCAUGACACAGAUGAUUGCCGUCUAACACAGUUUUCAAACCUCAGUUUACACGUCUCUCCUUUCCAAUUGCAAGAAGAAAGUCAAGGACACUUCAGCCUACUCAAUUGUACUUCAACUAAAACAGCUUAUUCAGAUUACUUUUACCCAGUCCCUUGCCUCAGUGCCCCUGCCUACCAGGUUUAUGCUGU
This 2347-nucleotide long non-coding RNA is filed under the name Vitis vinifera (wine grape). RNAcentral's name for it is "long non-coding RNA (VVIN_LNC007010)". Lineage: Eukaryota; Viridiplantae; Streptophyta; Magnoliopsida; Vitales; Vitaceae. The record is from RNAcentral.